AUUGAACGCUGGCGGCAGGCUUAACACAUGCAAGUCGAGCGGGGGAAGGUAGCUUGCUACCGGACCUAGCGGCGGACGGGUGAGUAAUGCUUAGGAAUCUGCCUAUUAGUGGGGGACAACAUCUCGAAAGGGAUGCUAAUACCGCAUACGUCCUACGGGAGAAAGCAGGGGAUCACUUGUGACCUUGCGCUAAUAGAUGAGCCUAAGUCGGAGUAGCUAGUUGGUGGGGUAAAGGCCUACCAAGGCGACGAUCUGGAGCGGGUCUGAGAGGAGGAUCCGCCACACUGGGACUGAGACACGGCCCAGACUCCUACGGGAGGCAGCAAUGGGGAAUAUUGGACAAUGGGGGGAACCCUGAUCCAGCCAUGCCGCGUGUGUGAAGAAGGCCUUAUGGUUGUAAAGCACUUUAAGCGAGGAGGAGGCUCUUUUGGUUAAUACCCAAGAUGAGUGGACGUUACUCGCAGAAUAAGCACCGGCUAACUCUGUGCCAGCAGCCGCCGUAA
RNAcentral lists this ribosomal RNA (503 nucleotides) under uncultured bacterium. Its description in RNAcentral is "partial 16S ribosomal RNA". It matches the Rfam family "Bacterial small subunit ribosomal RNA", at positions 30 to 523 of the family's 1533-position model. The record is from RNAcentral.